ACGCAAUAUUCCCAUUUAAAUAACAACAUUGCUCAUGGAAGAAUGUUUUUGUAUCACUUUAUUCAGCCUUUAUUAUCAUUACAAUGCCUUAACACAGAAGACAAAAAUGUGAUGAGCCUAAAAAAUCCUUCGAAAUUAAAUUAUAACUGUGUCGUUACUGGAAAGCAAAAUAUCAAAACAAGGCAAAAAUUAGGUCUAAUUAGAUGUCAUUAUAAUCGAACAAAUUUAACAAUGGAUAUGAUCUGCAGAUGAAGUGGCGUUCAUAGCCAGAUACUAAUAUAAAAAGUAAGUAUUUAGAAUUGGUCACUACAUGUUACUUUGUUGUUAACUAUGUCUCUAUAAAAUGUAGGUAAAAAAAAAA
Molecule: non-coding RNA, 361 nt
Organism: Biomphalaria pfeifferi
Lineage: Eukaryota; Metazoa; Mollusca; Gastropoda; Planorbidae
Source: the annotation of a GenBank genome assembly